This 76-nucleotide transfer RNA is filed under the name Escherichia coli. RNAcentral's name for it is "tRNA-Ile". It matches the Rfam family "tRNA". From Rfam's summary of the family: Transfer RNA (tRNA) molecules are approximately 80 nucleotides in length. Their secondary structure includes four short double-helical elements and three loops (D, anti-codon, and T loops). The record is from RNAcentral. Lineage: Bacteria; Pseudomonadati; Pseudomonadota; Gammaproteobacteria; Enterobacterales; Enterobacteriaceae. RNAcentral also lists the same sequence under 3 other names.
GGCCCCUUAACUCAGCGGUGAGAGUAAGCCCCUCAUAAGGGCGGAGUCGCCGGUUCGAAUCCGGCAGGGGCCACCA